AGAGCCACGGCCGAGUCUGUAUGGCCCCUGGCAUUUUGCCAACAGUAUUGAUUGACAGGCGAGGCAUUACUAUCCGCCUCUGCCGCAACUUUUGAGUUCUCGCACUAUUUUGGAGUUCUCAUGGGGAUUUCCGGGGAUUCCCCGAGAGUUCCCAUUGGUUGGGGAAGUGCAGGAGGAGGGAUUUCCGGGAGAGAUAUUUCCGGCUGGGGGUUCCUGGACAAGCCUCCUGGCGCGUUCGGGAGGAUUCCCCGGGAGCUGUGUGAAGUGUUUUCCUGCAGUUUAAAAAUAAAGUUUGUUCCUGCUUCAGUGGCUCGUGAUUUGUGCCCAGCCAGACUGCGGCAUUUGGCGGCCCGUUCGGGGAACGUCUGAAGCUUCGGGGGAGAACAGCAGCCGAUUUGGAUUCCAGAGAGAUUAACUAAAACAAUUUCUACAGGCCAAAAGGAAGAUGAUUUGACUCAAAUCCAUAACAGCUGAUAUCCAGAACUCCAGUUUGGCUAUUCUUACAUCUGCGACGGUGAUUAACCAGGAUGUUUUUUUCAAUAUUUAUUUUAUUAUUUGCCUUUUCCCACAUCAUAAAGUUCUAUUUUAUUUUUGAGCUCAUACAGACCUAGGAUAAUGUUUUUCUGAUCAGUUUUAUUUUUUGACUGUGGAGUUUUUAAGCAUUGCAAUGGAGAUUUCACCUAGGUAAAGCUACAAGGCCUUUACUAUUGUCUUAUGUGUUGUAUGUUAUGUGUGCACACUUCUGUUUUGUGUUGUAUGUCUGUAUGUGUGUAUGUCCAUAUAUCAUAUAUGAGGAGCGCUCAUGAAUAAAUGGAUCCAAAUUUUUUUUA
This is a long non-coding RNA of Marmota monax (woodchuck), 830 nucleotides long. RefSeq lists it as uncharacterized. Lineage: Eukaryota; Metazoa; Chordata; Mammalia; Rodentia; Sciuridae. The transcript is spliced from 2 exons. The record is from RefSeq and is a predicted model, not a curated record.